RNAcentral lists this ribosomal RNA (275 nucleotides) under uncultured bacterium. Its description in RNAcentral is "partial 16S ribosomal RNA". It matches the Rfam family "Bacterial small subunit ribosomal RNA", at positions 80 to 354 of the family's 1533-position model. The record is from RNAcentral.
UUUCUCCGCCGGCGACCGGCGCACGGGUGAGUAACACGUAUGCAACCUGCCCCUGUCAGGGGGACAACCCGCCGAAAGGCGGGCUAAACCCGCGUACAUGCCACCGGGGCAUCCCGGAGGCAGGAAAGGCUUCGGCCGGACAGGGAUGGGCAUGCGGCGCACUAGGCAGUAGGCGGGGUAACGGCCCACCUAACCGACGAUGCGUAGGGGUUCUGAGAGGAAGGUCCCCCACACUGGUACUGAGACACGGACCAGACUCCUACGGGAGGCAGCAG